GGGUCAUACUUCCAAGAAAAGCUUGCACUGUCAUAAACAAAGAAUGCCUGUACCAUAACCGACACAGGUGGGUAGGUAGAGUAUACUAAGGGGCGCGAGAUAACUCUCUCUAAGGAACUCGGCAAAAUGACUCCGUAACUUCGGGAGAAGGAGUGCCUUAUUUUUAAGGUUGCAAUAACAAGAUCCAAGCAACUGUUUACCAAAAACACAGGUCUCCGCUAAGUCGUAAGACGAUGUAUGGGGGCUGACGCCUGCCCAGUGCCAGAAGGUUAAAGAAGUUGGUUAGCAAUUGCGAAGCUGAUAACUGAAGCCCUAGUGAACGGCGGCCGUAACGAUAACGGUCCUAAGGUAGCGAAAUUCCUUGUCGGGCAAGUUCCGACCCGCACGAAAGGCGUAAUGAUUUGGAUACUGUCUCGGAGAGGGGCUCGGUGAAAUAGACUUGUCUGUGAAGAUGCGGACUACCUGCACCUGGACAGAAAGACCCUAUGAAGCUUUACUGUAACUUGAGAUUGAAAUUGGACUUUAUUUGCGCAGUAUAGGUGGGAGGCGUUGAGAAUAAUCUUGCGGGAUUAUCGGAGCCAUCAGUGAGAUACCACUCUUGUAAUGUUAGAUUUCUAACUUUGUAUCAUUAUCUGGUCAAAGAACAGUUUCAGGCGGGCAGUUUGACUGGGGCGGUCGCCUCCCAAAGGGUAACGGAGGCGCACAAAGGUUUCCUCUGAACGGGUAGAAAUCGUAUCUAGAGUGUAAAGGCAUAAGGAAGCUUGACUGUGAGACCUACAAGUCGAGCAGGGACGAAAGUCGGUCUUAGUGAUCUGACGGUGCUGAGUGGAAAGGCCGUCACUCAACGGAUAAAAGUUACUCUAGGAUAACAGGCUGAUCUCCCCCAAGAGUUCACAUCGACGGGGAGGUUUGGCACCUCGAUGUCGGCUCAUCGCAUCCUGGGGCGGUAGUACGUCCCAAGGGUUGGGCUGUUCGCCCAUGAAAGCGGUACGCGAGCUGGGUUCAGAACGUCGUGAGACAGUUCGGUCCAUAUCCGGUGUAGGCGUUAGAAUAUUGAAAGGAGCCUUCUCUAGUACGAGAGGACCGAGAAGUACAUACCUCUGGUGUGCCAGUUAUCGUGCCAACGGUAAACGCUGGGUAGCUAUGUAUGGAGUGGAUAACCGCUGAAAUCAUCUAAGUGGGAAGCCCACCUUAAGAUAAG
This 1201-nucleotide ribosomal RNA is filed under the name metagenome. Its description in RNAcentral is "bacterial LSU rRNA". It matches the Rfam family "Bacterial large subunit ribosomal RNA", at positions 1597 to 2808 of the family's 2925-position model. The record is from RNAcentral.